RNAcentral lists this unclassified non-coding RNA (345 nucleotides) under soil metagenome. Its description in RNAcentral is "partial contains 5.8S ribosomal RNA, internal transcribed spacer 2, and large subunit ribosomal RNA". The stretch from base 1 to 120 matches the Rfam family "5.8S ribosomal RNA", at positions 35 to 154 of the family's 154-position model. The record is from RNAcentral.
GAUGAAGAACGCAGCGAAAUGCGAUACGUAAUGUGAAUUGCAGAAUUCAGUGAAUCAUCGAGUCUUUGAACGCACAUUGCGCCCCCUGGUAUUCCGGGGGGCAUGCCUGUCCGAGCGUCAUUGCUGCCCUCAAGCACGGCUUGUGUGUUGGGCCUCCGUCCUCCUCCCGGGGGACGGGCCCGAAAGGCAGCGGCGGCACCGCGUCCGGUCCUCCAGCGUAUGGGGCUUCGUCACCCGCUCUUGUAGGCCCGGCCGGCGCUUGCCGACACAUCAAUCUUUUUUCCAGGUUGACCUCGGAUCAGGUAGGGAUACCCGCUGAACUUAAGCAUAUCAAUAAGCGGAGGA